UACGUAGGGUGCGAGCGUUGCCCGGAUUUAUUGGGCGUAAAGGGCGCGUAGGCGGCUACGCACGUCCGUUGUGAAAUCGCUCGGCUCAACUGGGCGGGGUCAGCGGAUACGGGUGUAGCUGGAGCAAGCUAGGGGGCAAUGGAAUUCCCGGUGUAGUGGUGGGAAUGCGUAGAUAUCAGGAGGAACACCGGUGGCGGAAGGCGGCUCUCUGGGCCUGUACUGACGUGAGGAGCGAAAAGCGUGGGGAGCAAACAGG
This 256-nucleotide ribosomal RNA is filed under the name uncultured bacterium. RNAcentral describes it as "partial 16S ribosomal RNA". It matches the Rfam family "Bacterial small subunit ribosomal RNA", at positions 524 to 776 of the family's 1533-position model. The record is from RNAcentral.